AAACUUUCAACAACGGAUCUCUUGGUUCUGGCAUCGAUGAAGAACGCGGCGAACUGCGAUAAGUAAUGUGAAUUGCAGAAUUCAGUGAACCAUCGAAUCUUUGAACGCACAUUGCGCCCGCCAGCAUUCUGGCGGGCAUGCCUGUCCGAGCGUCAUU
Molecule: ribosomal RNA, 157 nt
Filed under: Grosmannia abietina
Lineage: Eukaryota; Fungi; Ascomycota; Sordariomycetes; Ophiostomatales; Ophiostomataceae
Description: 5.8S ribosomal RNA
Rfam family: 5.8S ribosomal RNA
About the family: 5.8S ribosomal RNA (5.8S rRNA) is a component of the large subunit of the eukaryotic ribosome. It is transcribed by RNA polymerase I as part of the 45S precursor that also contains 18S and 28S rRNA.
Source: RNAcentral